RNAcentral lists this transfer RNA (73 nucleotides) under Stegodyphus mimosarum. It matches the Rfam family "tRNA". From Rfam's summary of the family: Transfer RNA (tRNA) molecules are approximately 80 nucleotides in length. Their secondary structure includes four short double-helical elements and three loops (D, anti-codon, and T loops). Further hydrogen bonds mediate the characteristic L-shaped molecular structure. tRNAs have two regions of fundamental functional importance: the anti-codon, which is responsible for specific mRNA codon recognition, and the 3' end, to which the tRNAs corresponding amino acid is attached (by aminoacyl-tRNA synthetases). tRNAs cope with the degeneracy of the genetic code in two manners: having more than one tRNA (with a specific anti-codon) for a particular amino acid; and 'wobble' base-pairing, i.e. permitting non-standard base-pairing at the 3rd anti-codon position. The record is from Rfam by way of RNAcentral. Lineage: Eukaryota; Metazoa; Arthropoda; Arachnida; Araneae; Eresidae.
ACCUUCGUGGUGUAGUGGUCUGCAUGCUAGACGCGUAAUCGAGAGGUCCGUGGUUCGAUUCCCGGCUAAGGCG